AAAUUGUUAUAAUGGCACUUCUUUUUCAAGAAAGCAGAACCAAAAGAAAACCUUUCAGCCAAUUUCCUCAUAGUUUCCCAACCAGGAAUCAAACCCGCGUCUCCUGCAUUGGAAAUACAGAGUCUUAACCACUGGGCCACCAAAGAAGUCCCAUUCUCCUCCUCUUUGAUUUACUAGUGACACUGCCUGCCAAAGGCAGCUUCUGGAAGCCAGAGUACAAGGAAAUCUGUUAAUUUUGUUCAUCAACGUCAGCUUUUCUGGCACAAAGCUGGAUAGAGAAGAACGAAGAGAGAUCUAGAGGGACAACUGGAAGAUAUUCAGCCACCUGCUCUGACAUUUUUUGCUCAGGCUAGGCUUAUCACCUAGAACACCCUCAUUUUCAAUUGUCAUAUAAUCCUCUGCUAUGGUCUAGGAUUCAAGUAUAUGACCUACUUUUAAAUACAGACAUCCCUCUCUCCUGGUUAGCAUUUUCAGCUGUAUCUUUCCCACUGACACUUAACUAUAUACAGCCUUUAUUGCCACUAAAUGUUUCAAAGAUAUGUAAGUAUCCCAUUAAAUUGUAAGCUCAAUUUAUGUUAUGCUUCUUUUCAAUCUCUGUAGCACCUAACACAGUGUUCAGCACAGACCAGUUGAAACAAAUUGUAAUUUUCUUAAUUCUCUCACUUUUUUUUAUCCCCACCCUCUACCUGCCCCGAGGGGCUUCCCAGGGAGUGCUGCUGCUGCUGCUAAGUCGCUUCAGUCGUGUCCGACUCUGUGCGACCCCAUAGACGGCAGCCCACCAGGCUCCGCCGUCCCUGGGAUUCUCCAGGCAAGAACACUGGAGUGGGUUGCCAUUUCCUCCUCCAAUGCAUGAAAGUGAAAAGUGAAAGUGAAAUUGCUCAGUUGUAUCCGACUCUUCGUGACCCCAUGGACUGCAGCCUAUCAGGCUCCUCCAUCCAUGGGAUUUUUCCAGGCAAGAGUACUGGAGUGGGUCGCCAUUGCCUUCUCCUCGUCUCCUCCCAAGUGGUCUCAAUAGUGAUUGAAGGGAGCUGGUGACUGAAAAAUCAAGCAACCUCAUCGAAAUGAUGGAGACGGGGGCAACUCUGAAGUAGCUCCUAAGAGGUUUCC
Molecule: long non-coding RNA, 1107 nt
Organism: Bos taurus (domestic cattle)
Lineage: Eukaryota; Metazoa; Chordata; Mammalia; Artiodactyla; Bovidae
Source: Ensembl